RNAcentral lists this ribosomal RNA (253 nucleotides) under uncultured bacterium. Its description in RNAcentral is "partial 16S ribosomal RNA". It matches the Rfam family "Bacterial small subunit ribosomal RNA", at positions 524 to 776 of the family's 1533-position model. The record is from RNAcentral.
UACGGGGGGGGCAAGCGUUGUUCGGAAUUACUGGGCGUAAAGGGCGCGUAGGCGGCCUGUUAAGUCGAACGUGAAAGCCCCGGGCUCAACCCGGGAACUGCGUCCGAUACUGGCAGGCUUGAAUCCGGGAGAGGGAUGUGGAAUUCCAGGUGUAGCGGUGAAAUGCGUAGAUAUCUGGAGGAACACCGGUGGCGAAGGCGGCAUCCUGGACCGGUAUUGACGCUGAGGCGCGAAAGCCAGGGGAGCAAACGGG